GACGAACGCUGGCGGCGUGCCUAAUACAUGCAAGUAGAACGCUGAAGGAGGAGCUUGCUCUUCUGGAUGAGUUGCGAACGGGUGAGUAACGCGUAGGUAACCUGCCUGGUAGCGGGGGAUAACUAUUGGAAACGAUAGCUAAUACCGCAUAACAGUAGAUGUUGCAUGACAUUUACUUAAAAGGUGCAAUUGCAUCACUACCAGAUGGACCUGCGUUGUAUUAGCUAGUUGGUGGGGUAACGGCUCACCAAGGCGACGAUACAUAGCCGACCUGAGAGGGGGGACGGCCAAAACGGGAACGAGACACGGCCCAGACCUCUACGGGGGGCAGCAGUAGGGAAACUUCGGCAAUGGACGGAAGGCUUACCGAGCAACGCCGCGGGAGGGAAGAAGGGUUUCGGAUCGGAAAGCUCUGUUGUUAGGGAAGAAAGAGGGUGAGAGUGGAAAGUUCACACUGUGACGGUAACUUAACAGAAAGGGACGGCUAACUACGUG
Molecule: ribosomal RNA, 495 nt
Filed under: uncultured bacterium
Lineage: Bacteria
Description: partial 16S ribosomal RNA
Rfam family: Bacterial small subunit ribosomal RNA
Source: RNAcentral